This 492-nucleotide ribosomal RNA is filed under the name uncultured bacterium. RNAcentral's name for it is "partial 16S ribosomal RNA". It matches the Rfam family "Bacterial small subunit ribosomal RNA", at positions 29 to 507 of the family's 1533-position model. The record is from RNAcentral.
AGUGAACGCUGGCGGUAGGCCUAACACAUGCAAGUCGAACGGCAGCACAGUAAGAGCUUGCUCUUACGGGUGGCGAGUGGCGGACGGGUGAGGAAUACAUCGGAAUCUACUUUUUCGUGGGGGCUAACGUCGGGAAACUUACGCUAAUACCGCAUACGACCUACGGGUGAAAGCAGGGGAUCUUCGGACCUUGCGCGAUUGAAUGAGCCGAUGUCGGAUGAGCUAGUUGGCGGGGUAAAGGCCCACCAAGGCGACGAUCCGUAGCUGGUCUGAGAGGAUGAUCAGCCAGACUGGAACUGAGACACGGUCCAGACUCCUACGGGAGGCAGCAGUGGGGAAUAUUGGACGAUGGGCGCAAGCCGGAUCCAGCCAUACCGCGUGGGUGAAGAAGGCCUUCGGGUUGUAAAGCCAUUUUGUUGGGAAAGAAAAGCAGCAGGUUAAUACCCCGCUGUUCUGACGGUACCCAAAGAAUAAGCACCGGCUAACUUCGUG